AUACUGUUGAGGAGUUCCACAAUAGGACGAAACGGCCGUCCAAU
This 44-nucleotide non-coding RNA is filed under the name Schistosoma curassoni. Lineage: Eukaryota; Metazoa; Platyhelminthes; Trematoda; Strigeidida; Schistosomatidae. The record is from RNAcentral.